GGGCACUACGAGCAUAAGCUUGAAACCUAAAGGACUUGGCGGUGCUUUAGUCCCACCUAGAGGAGCCUGUUCUAUAACCGAUAACCCCCGUUAAACCUCACCUUUUCUUGUUUUUCCCGCCUAUAUACCGCCGUCGUCAGCUUACCCUGUGAAGGUUUACUAGUAAGCAAAAUUGAUUUAAUCUAAAACGUCAGGUCGAGGUGUAGCAUAUGAAAAGGAAAGAAAUGGGCUACAUUUCCUAUUUUAGGAUAUAACGGAAAUUGACAUGAAAUACGCAUAUUAAAGGAGGAUUUAGCAGUAAGAAGGGAAUAGAGAGCCCUACUGAAACUGGCCCUGAAGCGCGCACACACCGCCCGUCACUCUCCCUGUACCAUAUUAAUUCAUAUAUAAUAAAAAUUCGGAUAAAGGGGAGGCAAGUCGUAACAUGGUAAGUAUACCGGAAGGUGUACUUGGCUAAAC
Molecule: ribosomal RNA, 459 nt
Filed under: Fundulopanchax gardneri (blue lyretail)
Lineage: Eukaryota; Metazoa; Chordata; Actinopteri; Cyprinodontiformes; Nothobranchiidae
Description: partial 12S ribosomal RNA
Rfam family: Bacterial small subunit ribosomal RNA
Source: RNAcentral